GAACUCCGGAGAAUCUCAUUUGUGAGUGCCGAAGGGGCAAGGCUGCGCGGCGGCUGAAACUCUCAGGCAAAAGGACGGAGCAGG
This 84-nucleotide non-coding RNA is filed under the name human gut metagenome. Its description in RNAcentral is "Glycine riboswitch". It matches the Rfam family "Glycine riboswitch aptamer", at positions 9 to 86 of the family's 94-position model. From Rfam's summary of the family: This family represents the bacterial glycine riboswitch. Glycine riboswitches usually consist of two metabolite-binding aptamers domains with similar structures in tandem. The record is from RNAcentral.